CCUACGGGUGGCAGCAGUGAGGAAUAUUGGUCAAUGGCCGGAAGGCUGAACCAGCCAUGCCGCGUGAAGGUCAGUGCCCUAUGGGCGUUAAACUUCUUUUGUGCGGGAGCAAUAAUGGUCACGUGUGGCCAGACGAGAGUACCGUACGAAUAAGCAUCGGCUAACUCCGUGCCAGCAGCCGCGGUAAUACGGGGGAUGCAGGCGUUAUCCGGAUUUAUUGGGUUUAAAGGGUGCGUAGGGUGUGAGGUAAGUCAGCGGUGAAAUGCCCCCGCUUAACGGGGUGAAGUGCCAUUGAUACUGCCUUGCUGGAAUGCGGAUGCGGUGGGAGGAAUGUGUGGUGUAGCGGUGAAAUGCAUAGAUAUCACACAGAACACCGAUUGCGAAGGCAGCUCACGAAUCCGCGAUUGACGCUGAUGCACGAAAGCGUGGGUAUCAAACAGGAUUAGAUACCCCUGUAGUC
RNAcentral lists this ribosomal RNA (460 nucleotides) under uncultured bacterium. RNAcentral's name for it is "partial 16S ribosomal RNA". It matches the Rfam family "Bacterial small subunit ribosomal RNA", at positions 338 to 795 of the family's 1533-position model. The record is from RNAcentral.